RNAcentral lists this ribosomal RNA (1017 nucleotides) under Escherichia coli. RNAcentral's name for it is "partial 23S ribosomal RNA". It matches the Rfam family "Bacterial large subunit ribosomal RNA", at positions 1 to 1058 of the family's 2925-position model. The record is from RNAcentral. Lineage: Bacteria; Pseudomonadati; Pseudomonadota; Gammaproteobacteria; Enterobacterales; Enterobacteriaceae.
GGUUAAGCGACUAAGCGUACACGGUGGAUGCCCUGGCAGUCAGAGGCGAUGAAGGACGUGCUAAUCUGCGAUAAGCGUCGGUAAGGUGAUAUGAACCGUUAUAACCGGCGAUUUCCGAAUGGGGAAACCCAGUGUGUUUCGACACACUAUCAUUAACUGAAUCCAUAGGUUAAUGAGGCGAACCGGGGGAACUGAAACAUCUAAGUACCCCGAGGAAAAGAAAUCAACCGAGAUUCCCCCAGUAGCGGCGAGCGAACGGGGAGCAGCCCAGAGCCUGAAUCAGUGUGUGUGUUAGUGGAAGCGUCUGGAAAGGCGCGCGAUACAGGGUGACAGCCCCGUACACAAAAAUGCACAUAUUGUGAGCUCGAUGAGUAGGGCGGGACACGUGGUAUCCUGUCUGAAUAUGGGGGGACCAUCCUCCAAGGCUAAAUACUCCUGACUGACCGAUAGUGAACCAGUACCGUGAGGGAAAGGCGAAAAGAACCCCGGCGAGGGGAGUGAAAAAGAACCUGAAACCGUGUACGUACAAGCAGUGGGAGCACGCUUAGGCGUGUGACUGCGUACCUUUUGUAUAAUGGGUCAGCGACUUAUAUUCUGUAGCAAGGUUAACCGAAUAGGGGAGCCGAAGGGAAACCGAGUCUUAACUGGGCGUUAAGUUGCAGGGUAUAGACCCGAAACCCGGUGAUCUAGCCAUGGGCAGGUUGAAGGUUGGGUAACACUAACUGGAGGACCGAACCGACUAAUGUUGAAAAAUUAGCGGAUGACUUGUGGCUGGGGGUGAAAGGCCAAUCAAACCGGGAGAUAGCUGGUUCUCCCCGAAAGCUAUUUAGGUAGCGCCUCGUGAAUUCAUCUCCGGGGGUAGAGCACUGUUUCGGCAAGGGGGUCAUCCCGACUUACCAACCCGAUGCAAACUACGAAUACCGGAGAAUGUUAUCACGGGAGACACACGGCGGGUGCUAACGUCCGUCGUGAAGAGGGAAACAACCCAGACCGCCAGCUAAGGUCCCAAAGUCAUGG